AUGGUUGAUGAUGCACACCCCUUCUUUCCUCGGCUUAUCGACAAUGGUGAAAGAAAAUUCAAACUUAGCCAGUUGUGUCUGAAACCACCUU
Small nucleolar RNA from Syngnathus acus (greater pipefish), 91 nucleotides. RefSeq annotates it as small nucleolar SNORD12/SNORD106. The transcript has a single exon. Lineage: Eukaryota; Metazoa; Chordata; Actinopteri; Syngnathiformes; Syngnathidae. The record is from RefSeq and is a predicted model, not a curated record.